Non-coding RNA from Serratia sp. Leaf50, 211 nucleotides. The record is from Rfam. Lineage: Bacteria; Pseudomonadati; Pseudomonadota; Gammaproteobacteria; Enterobacterales; Yersiniaceae.
AGCGAUAAAAGUUGGCGACCCUUAUCUUCUUCUCUAUCAUAAAUAGUAAAAAAGAGGGAGCCACUGCAAACGAAACAGCUUUGGAUCGACUAUUGGUGAAUCAGGCCUGUUCCGUAUGCUGAAGUUUUUGACGCAUUCUUGAUCUAUUGGUAACUCAUGAAUCCCAUCGUAAUAAACAGGCUUCAGCGAAAGCUGGGCUACACUUUUCAAC